UCCUAAGGGUGCAAGCGUUAAUCGGAAUUACUGGGCGUAAAGCGCGCGUAGGUGGUUCGUUAAGUUGAAUGUGAAAGCCCCGGGCUCAACCUGGGAACUGCAUCCAAAACUGGCGAGCUAGAGUAUGGCAGAGGGUGGUGGAAUUUCCUGUGUAGCGGUGAAAUGCGUAGAUAUAGGAAGGAACACCAGUGGCGAAGGCGACCACCUGGGCUAAUACUGACACUGAGGUGCGCAAGCGGGGGGAGCACACAGGAGUCGAUAACCCUGUAGUCC
RNAcentral lists this ribosomal RNA (273 nucleotides) under uncultured bacterium. RNAcentral describes it as "partial 16S ribosomal RNA". It matches the Rfam family "Bacterial small subunit ribosomal RNA", at positions 524 to 796 of the family's 1533-position model. The record is from RNAcentral.